GGAAGGGUGGCCGAGUGGUCGAAGGCGGCGGUCUUGAAAACCGCUAGGCCCGCAAGGGUCUCGUGGGUUCGAAUCCCACCCCUUCCGCCA
RNAcentral lists this transfer RNA (90 nucleotides) under Candidatus Peribacteria bacterium. RNAcentral's name for it is "tRNA-Ser". It matches the Rfam family "tRNA". From Rfam's summary of the family: Transfer RNA (tRNA) molecules are approximately 80 nucleotides in length. RNAcentral also lists the same sequence under 1 other name. Lineage: Bacteria; Candidatus Peregrinibacteriota; Candidatus Peribacteria. The record is from RNAcentral.